Molecule: non-coding RNA, 240 nt
Filed under: Dorea longicatena
Lineage: Bacteria; Bacillati; Bacillota; Clostridia; Lachnospirales; Lachnospiraceae
Description: T-box sequence
Rfam family: T-box leader
About the family: Uncharged tRNA acts as the effector for transcription antitermination of genes in the T-box leader family.
Source: RNAcentral
GAAAACACGUUGAAGAGAAGAGUAGGCUGGGAAAGAAAUGCCAGAGAGAGAAGCCACGGGCUGAAAGCUUCUUAUUUUGGAACCUUCUGAAAACUACCUCUGAGUGGCUGCAAAACAGUCCGGUGAUUCCGUUAUCGUCAUAAUUAAGAGGUUCUGGCAUAAAAGUCUUUGGUGAAUAAUAUAGAGACUGUGAAGUGUCAGUUCAAACAGGGUGGAACCGCGAGAUAACUCGUCCCUUAC